AGAGUUUGAUCAUGGCUCAGAACGAACGCUGGCGGCAUGCCUAACACAUGCAAGUCGAACGAGAAGCUAUCUUCGGGUAGUGGAAAGUGGCGCACGGGUGAGUAACGCGUGGGAACCUGCCCUGAGGUUCGGAAUAACGAUUGGAAACGGUCGCUAAUACCGGAUGAGCCCUGAGGGGGAAAGAUUUAUCGCCUUGGGAGGGGCCCGCGUCCGAUUAGCUUNUUGGUGUGGUAACGGCGCNCCAAGGCUUCGAUCGGUAGCGUGGUCUGAGAGGGA
Molecule: ribosomal RNA, 276 nt
Filed under: uncultured bacterium
Lineage: Bacteria
Description: partial 16S ribosomal RNA
Rfam family: Bacterial small subunit ribosomal RNA
Source: RNAcentral